This is a long non-coding RNA of Symphalangus syndactylus (siamang), 585 nucleotides long. RefSeq lists it as uncharacterized. NCBI's taxonomy places the organism in Eukaryota, Metazoa, Chordata, Mammalia, Primates, Hylobatidae. The record is from RefSeq and is a predicted model, not a curated record.
UUGUUCCAGAAACCCGCAGACACGUCACGUCAGAGUUUUUAAUUCAUCGCCCAGUCUGGAUUAAUAAUACCAUUGGUACGCACUGGUAUUAGACAAACUCGAGUUGGGUUGAAAUACUGUGAAAUCUUGGCUUUCUCGUCUUUGAGAUUUUAACACUGGAGCGUAGAGGAGGUCAGUCUCUGCUGACUGCUGAACAUCCAACAUGUGACACCCAGGAGUUGUCUACCACCAUGUUUUGGACUAAGGGAAAAAAGCAAGUAAAGAGAGAGGUAAUUCAGAAAAAUGCAACAUCAUGGAAGUUCCAGGAUGUCUGAAACCAGAGCGCUGUAGCCACAAACAACAGAACACAAACACACUAUCCUCCAGGAUGGCCUGCUUGGCCAGUCUCCCCCACCAUACUACUGCAGCCUCAUCAGCCAGGGUCUCACUCUGUGCAGGCUGGAGUGCAGUGCCACAAUCUCGGGUCACUGCAGCCUUGACCUCCACCACACAGGCUCAAGCAAUCUUCCAACUUCAGCCUCCCGAGUAGCUGGGACUACAAGCGUGCACCACCACGCCUGGCUAAGCUUUGUAUUUUUUUGUAGA